AACGCGUCCACUUGGCGCGACCACGUGUUUGGCGGCGUUUGGCGGCUUUGGGUACACUUCUGAGCUGGGGCUUUUUUGGCAGGUGGUCUGUCGUCUUCUCGGAACUCGGCAGUGGCUUUUUCACCCAGGUCAUGUUUGAGGCCUUGUCGAAGGGGUGGUGGCUGUGGCUAGGGAGACGGAGUAUUGCUGGGCAGGCUUGGCCCCUGCUCUAGGGCCUAGCACCGCGGGCUCAGAUCUGACCCCUGGGGGACUAGGCUGCGAGGAAGAAGAGUCCAGCUGGGGAGCUGUCAGAGCAGCCCUGCAAGUUAGGGCUGGGGUGCUGUGCAGCGACGCUGAAGCCCAGGGAACUGCUGGGAGGCGGUGACACGAAGUGGGAUUCAUAUGCUGGAGGAAGAAACCUGGGAAAAUAGGUUGGAUGAAUCAUCCUCCCCAUGCUAUAAAGAAAAUAAGGUACAGUGGAGUUAAGAACAACUCAGUAACAGCACUGGCAUCUCCAGACUCAGCCCGUCAGGCAGAGGAACGCGCAGGAAGAGGAAUGGCUGCUGCUGUCCCCUCGGCCCGGCCCCAGGACUUCCAGUGUCCCGGCCUGGCAUGAGCUUUCAGUCGGAACAAAGGCAAGGCACCUGGAUGUCAGAGGGAGAUGAUGUAAGCAGCACCUGUCCAGGUAAACAAGCAAUAAGCCAGUAAGCUUUAGAGCCAGAGCCCUUCUAACACACACAGUACUGUGACAGAUUAUUCUAACAACCCUGCCAGGUAGGUACUAUUAUACACAUUUUACUGAUGGGGAAAUCAAGCUGAGUUAACUCUAUAGUUGAGAGACUCAAAGCUGGCAAGUAGCACGAGGCUGGGAGUGAACCAAGGCUCACUCACUGCUCCUUAGCCCCACCCCGAGGUGUGCGGCAGGUGUGGAAUGACCAGGUCAUCCUCGCGGCCUGGCACAUUGCCUGCUUAGAGUCCCUGCUGAGGAUCUCAGGUGCCACCUUUGCCCAUCUGCACAAGCACUGCAGUGCAUGAGCAAGCCUCUCAUGCAGCAUGCUCACCAACCCUCUCCAGAUAACCACCUUUGAAAUCUGCCGGAUUUGGUGAUGAAAAAAUUUCAUCUUAUUUGGCAUCGGUCAUCUGUUGUUUUUUUGUUUGGUUGUUUUGAUUUUUGGUCUUUUUUAGUGGUACUGGGGUUCAAACCCAGGAGCACUCUACCACUGAGCUAUAUCCCCAGCCCCAGCAGGAAGCCAGGGUCUAAGUUGCCCAGGCAGGACUUGAACUUGGAAUCUUCCUAUCUCAGCCUCCCUAAGUGCUGGGAUUCCAAACUUGAGCCACUGUACCCAGCUAGUGAGCAGCUUUGUAAGUUAUUUAAAUCUAGUAAGUAGAUUGCUUCAAACCACCAGCAAGAAUUGUGAGACUCAGAAGAUCCAAGACAGCCCAAGAGCUGGCAAGAGCAGAGGAGUAGGAGUGUCAGGAACCUUCUUCCUGGGGCAGGAGGGGCAGUCUCUACUUCUUCCCCUUGAGUUCAGGAGGAGAAAAGGGGCUGUGGCAGCACGACCCAAGUCUCUGAAAAGCCCUCUGACACAGCUGCGUCCUGGAUGGGAGGAGUCACCGCAUCUGUCCCUGUCAGGGCCUGGCCAGACUCCUAAGCCUCUCGUGUACCUGUUCCCAAGGGAACCCAGCACAGCUGCUUUUCUGACUUUUCCAGCCUGGAAGACUGGCCCUGCCUGGCCAGCGGGGCACACCCUUUUGUGAGGUGCUCCCCGGGGAGCUGUAGCAGGGGACCAGUUUGAGGCCAGCCCUUUCUGAACAGAGGGCCCCUCCAGGAGCAGGGCCUGGCCUGUGUGAGACACGCUCCGAGCACUCCCAGAACUCUGCAGUCGUUACAUGGCGCAGAACGAAGCCGUUCAUGUGUAGCGAGUGCAAAGCCUUCAGCUACUGCUCCUCCCUUUCUCAGCAUCAGAAGAGCCACACCCAGGAGAAGCCCUGUGAUUGCGGGCGGGCCUUCAGCCAGAACACAGAACCUCCCAACACUGGUGCACACGCACCGGGGAGCCCUAUGCGUGCAGCCAUUGCAGCAAGGCCUUCAGCCAGAGCACCAGUCUCACCAUCCACCAGAAGACACACACCAGGGAGAAGCCGUAUCAGUGUG
Molecule: long non-coding RNA, 2134 nt
Organism: Heterocephalus glaber (naked mole-rat)
Lineage: Eukaryota; Metazoa; Chordata; Mammalia; Rodentia; Bathyergidae
Source: Ensembl